AUGCAAGUCGAGGGGUAACAGGGUAGCAAUACUGCUGACGACCGGCGCACGGGUGAGUAACACGUAUGCAACCUACCUAUAACUGGGGAAUAGCCUUCCGAAAGGAAGAUUAACACCGCAUAACAUCACGAAACGGCAUCGUUUUGUGAUCAAACCUCCGGGGGUUAUAGAUGGGCAUGCGUAACAUUAGCUAGUUGGUGAGGUAACGGCUCACCAAGGCGACGAUGUUUAGGGGGUCUGAGAGGAUGAUCCCCCACACUGGUACUGAGACACGGACCAGACUCCUACGGGAGGCAGCAGUAAGGAAUAUUGGACAAUGGGGGCAACCCUGAUCCAGCCAUGCCGCGUGAAGGAUGAUGGCGCUCUGCGUCGUAAACUUCUUUUAUCCGGGAAAAAUUGUUGGGUUUCUACCUGACUUGAUUGUACCGGAGGAAUAAGGACCGGCUAACUUCGUGCCAGCAGCCGCGGUAAUACGAAGGGUCCAAGCGUUAUCCGGAUUUAUUGGGUUUAAAGGGUGCGUAGGCGGGUUGUUAAGUCAGUGGUGAAAUCUUGCAGCUUAACUGUAAAAUUGCCAUUGAUACUGACGAUCUUGAGUACACUUGAAGUGGGCGGAAUAUGUCAUGUAGAGGUGAAAUUCUUAGAGAUGACAUAGAACACCGAUUGCGAAGGCAGCUCACUAAAUUGUAACUGACGCUGAGGCACGAAAGCGUGGGGAUCAAACAGGAUUAGAUACCCUGGUAG
Molecule: ribosomal RNA, 741 nt
Filed under: uncultured Bacteroidota bacterium
Lineage: Bacteria; Pseudomonadati; Bacteroidota
Description: bacterial SSU rRNA
Rfam family: Bacterial small subunit ribosomal RNA
Source: RNAcentral